This 253-nucleotide ribosomal RNA is filed under the name uncultured bacterium. RNAcentral describes it as "partial 16S ribosomal RNA". It matches the Rfam family "Bacterial small subunit ribosomal RNA", at positions 524 to 776 of the family's 1533-position model. The record is from RNAcentral.
UACGGAGGAUCCGAGCGUUAUCCGGAUUUAUUGGGUUUAAAGGGUGCGUAGGCGGGGAUUUAAGUCAGUGGUGAAAGUUUGCAGCUUAACUGUAAAAUUGCCAUUGAAACUGAAUUUCUUGAGUGCAAAUGAGGUAGGCGGAAUGUGUUGUGUAGCGGUGAAAUGCAUAGAUAUAACACAGAACACCGAUUGCGAAGGCAGCUUACUGGGAUGCAACUGACGCUGAGGCACGAAAGCGUGGGGAUCAAACAGG